CAGCCGUAAACUAUGCGCGUUAGGUGUAUCGGUGACCACGAGUUACCGAGGUGCCGAAGGGAAACCGUGAAACGUGCCGCCUGGGAAGUACAGUCGCAAGGCUGAAACUUAAAGGAAUUGGCGGGGGAGCACCACAACAGGUGGAGCCUGCGGUUUAAUUGGACUCAACGCCGGGAAGCUCACCGGAUAGGACAGCAGAAUGAUUGCCGGGCUGAAGACCCUGCAUGACUAGCUGAGAGGUGGUGCAUGGCGUAGACGUCU
Molecule: ribosomal RNA, 261 nt
Filed under: uncultured archaeon
Lineage: Archaea
Description: partial 16S ribosomal RNA
Rfam family: Archaeal small subunit ribosomal RNA
Source: RNAcentral